AUGCAAGGAAGAUAUUACUUCAUAACCUGCAAUCACUGUGUCAGAGAGUCCAGUCCUGCCAGCAGCUCAGUGAUGACAAAGCAAAGAUACAGAGGGAGGAAUGAGGUGGUCACACAAGAAACUCACAAAUGCUUGACUGCCAGAGGCUCAAUCUAUUAUGCAAGGACUCCAGCUGAGCCUGUUGGGAAUGGGAGAAGGAGAAGGAAAGGGGAAAAUUCCUGGAAGAGCAACAAACCCAACACCUCCAAAGUAACACAAGCCACUGAUGAAAGGAAAAUUCAUGUGCUGGUACCACAGGUGAGCAGUCAGGCAUCUGCUUUAACAAGGAGUGUUAAAACACCUCCAGGGAUCACACCCUUGCUCAAGUUCCUACCAAAUGGAGAUUCAAUCUCAGGAGGAUUAAUUUUUCCUUUUUCCUUUAGAUGUUUUCCAGCCAUAUGGUGCCAGUCUCAAAAAUUAAUGUCUGAAUCAUUUAUUUUUAAUAGGUAAAUAUCUUCCUUCUGUCUCUUCUUUAUUCAGGUUUCCUUGGUAAGACAAUAACUAUUUUUUUUUUCUUUUUUAAUAGAGAAUGAGCCUCCUUGUCUUGCUCCUUCAGGUUUGUGGAAGUCUUUCCUUGAGAAGUGUUGCCAGAAGGGGAAGGUGGCCAUGCUUGUCCCAUCCCAUGGUGUGGCUCAAGGAAGUGCCACUCUCACCUCACAUGCAACACAAGGCUAUGGACUUCCCCCACCUGCUGUGGUGGGGAAGUCCCUCAGAAACUGUGUUUAUGUGAUAACAUACUAUUUUUACAAUAUAUGUGUCCAGCUCCUCUUACAGACUUCACUGUUAUUUUCUUUCUGCUGCUGUAUUCCAGCACCUUCAGACAAACCUCAAAAUCACUUCAGUAGCCCUGUUGUUCUCCAGGUUGUUUGCCAUCAUGUCUUGCAAGCUGGAAACCUUUUAUCUCAUGAAGGCAAUACACAGAUGAUGUGUGUGCCUGGAUGGGUGUGGGUUUAAGUGGGUCAUGUUUGGGUGCUUUAAACUCAUGAGCUAUGCAAGAAAACCAGCACUACAACUUCCCUCCCCUGGCUCCUCUCACUGAGCUUCACUGUCUUGGUGCUAAAAUAUCCCCCCAAAAGUAGACAGACAGCAAUGGUGGGAAGGUGCUUCCAUGUCCAGCCUGAUGCACUCAGUCUGGGCUAUGAAAGGGCCUGGAUUACACCUUGCAGCUGGGUUGUUAGCUGCAGCAAUUAGAUAUGCACUAGCAUGUGUAAGCAAGUGGAUGUAUCCAGCUCUGGGAGAGAUUUUAAAUAGGCAGCUCUGGUAGUCCUCUCAGUUUCUCUCAACAUGAGGAUUUUCUGCUUUACUGGUUUAUUUUUGGAUAUCCAGGCUGCAGAAAAAGGAAUUUUGUUAAUAGAGACAUGCAGUCUCAUUUGUGAAAAUAACUCCAUAAGUAUGGGAGAACAUUGUGCUGUUGUACUUAAAUCUGCACGUUUUGCUGACUUAGAAGUUGGUACUGCAUUUCAAAGACUAGCUCACUAAGCCUGAUUGGUGUCCUUUAUCUUUUGAUGUUUAAGAAGUUUUUCUUUCCAAAGUCUUCUUUUCUUUCAGGCACUUCAAUGAAAAGUCUUCUUUCGCCCACUUUCAGAACAGCACGUAAUAUCCUUCAAUUCUCCCUGAUUUAUCUUCUGUAUUCUCUUGACUCAAGGCAGAUCAUAAAUUUACUCUAAUUUAUGAUCUGGUAUUCCUUUUUUUUUUUUUUUUUCCUUAAUUUUUAUUCAGCAUUUUCUGAGACAUUUAUUUCAUCCUAAUGAAAAUAAUGUAUCUACUUGGGUAUGCUUGUCCAGUAUACUGUGGUGUCCUACCAUGGCAAUAGGGACAAUAAAUGCAUCAGCUGGAGGCAGAAUCAACUUAUUCCUUGCUAAAAUUUCAUCAAGUAUCUGGAUGUUUUUAUUUUUCCCUUGAACUACUAAUACUUACAUGUUCAAAUGCAAAAAAGUGUGUUUAAAAAUAAAGUGAAGGGUCAAACUCUGACCUUGUCUUCUGUGGGAACUGCACUGAUGUGGUGCUCAAGAACAUGCUCUGCUCAGAAUUCCAGAGUAGAAAGAAGAAUCCUUUUUAUUUUCUUUUGAUUUUUUUGGUGCAGCAAUAGACCCACUUUUGUCUUAUUUGAAGGCUUUAAAACAAACCACAGUUUUCUGUGACAGUUCUAGGUCUUGUAUAUUACUUCAUUUUUCUACUUUUCUUCUAGCUUUUUUGUCACCAAAGGUUUUUGCAGAAAAAGAGGAUUAUUAUUAUUAAAGAGGUCAUCUGCUUCUGCUUCAUAUCUCUCUCUCCUUAAACCGUUAUUUUCUGUUUGUGACAUCAAAUUGUUGCUGUUGAAGCAUCACAAAAAUAGAAGAAUAUGGCAUCAUGUCAAAUAACAACGUAUCUGGGAACUUUUAAAGGUGUCCUCAUUUUCACAUUUUGUUUUCCCAAGCCCUGAUUUUAAUGUUUGCCUGAAAAAAUAAUUUUGCAGACAAUAAGCCUCCUACCUUCUUACCUACCUACCUACGUACCUACCAUGUCCCUUGCUAACAUAUAUGGCUACCCAGAGGUUUCUCAUUUCAAUAUUGGCUAAAUAUUUACACUUCUAAAUCAGGGUUUAUCACAAAAAUACAACUAGAUCCUCGGCCACAGAUUCCCUGGCAAAAUGCUCCAUUGACUGGACUUCUGCCAGGGUGUGAUAAAGGUUAGUCAAUUCCAUGCUCCUGAUGGUCCUUUGAAGGACCCAGGGCACAUCCUGUCGUCCUGUCAUGCUCAGUUUAUCUGAAUAGGAGCAAUAGGGAAGGUUUGGACAAGAUGUGGUUCUUGAUGUCUCUCCUCCUUCUGGAGGUCAGAGACUGGCUACAGCAGGAGGGGAGAAGGUGGACAAGAGAAAAAGCUUCUCUAUGUAGGACCAAGCAAUCUCAUGAGUGAUGAAUCAUCUCUCUGAUCCUCAAACUCAGAAUUGAGAUGAUCACCAUGUUAUAAACGAGAAUCAAAUCAAGAACCAAUGAGUUGCCUCUAAAGAUACCAUCUGGACUUUUUCUACUGACAUGCUUCUUACUCUGGCAUUGUCUUAGGCCAUUAGGACCCUUAUUGCUACCUUUCUGUGGUCCUUUGGGGUAUAUGUUACAUACUUAAAAAUGCACCAAAUAUCUUGAUUUUCUCACAGAUUAAUGAAGUGUUUUGUGGCAAAGCAAGGAAAGGGUGUGGGUCCUUCCUUUAUAUGGCUGCCUGUGACUGCCAGAGACUGGAUUUAAUCACUCAAAGGCUUCUUCCAGUUGUAUUACUGAUACUAGUAGUUCAGGCUGAGCUUGUAGGAUAAUUUGGAUUAUUGCCCUGACUAUGCUUUACUUUGCACUCAGGUCUGUGCUGGGAGCAGGACUCUUGUAAUUGAUUCUGAAAGUCUCAAGCAACCCAGAGGAAGGAGCUGAAGGGAGCAGUCUACUGCAUGAAGUCCACAGAUGUAAAAGAUUUGAAACCAUCUGACUUUUACAUCCCAAACUCUUCUUCUGAAUUUGAUUUUUUAGAGAAAGACUUUCUCAUUCCCCAUGCAUCAGUGGAGUCUCUUUGCAUAUCACAGUCUUAAACCUGCCUGAGGCCUCUCGACACUUUAAUCAUGAAACAGAAAUUCAAGAAUCAACAGGAAGGACUUUUGGCAGCCACCACAAUCCUGCAGAUACAGUCCCUUCCUUAUUUUCUCUCGAGUUUGCUGCAGAAUUUGGCUGGAUUGGCUGUGGGACUAUUCUUUCAUUGCCUGCUUCUCUGCUGGGGUUUUGGAGACCUCAUCACAGUUCUUCUUAUCACCCCCUCCAUGCUCCUUUGUUUGUCACGUCUCUUUCAUCGUCUUUCAUCAGGCAGGAUCAUGCAGUCUCUCAGACACUGUACCUCACCCCACAGACAUGUAACAAAUCUGCAAGGCUGCAUUAGUAUUCUGGCCAGGAGGCAUUGCCCUGGCAUGGGAACUGGAGAGCAAACCAUCAGGGCACAUGGAGGGGCUGAGGGAGAGUUACCAAAGCUGCUCUUCAGUGCUCCAUCAUGGAUUCACAUGGCCCAAUGGGUCUGAAUGCCACAUCAAAUAUGACAGACUAGACGUACCCCCUGCACUGCACCCUCAGUGCCUCUGAUCAUCUCGGUGGCUUUUCUGAAAGGGAAAGCACAGGGGACUGCGCUGCAGUCUUCUCAAGAUAGCCCCAUGGAAGGUCUAGGGGAGAUGGGAAGAUCCAUGCUGGUCCCAUGGUAAUGAGCCCUGCAUAGCUUCUGGAAUGACUUACAAGGAAGGAAGCCACCUCUGCCUACAAAGAAGAGAAGAAAAUAUGAGUCAAAAUGUUGCCACAACGAUUUUACAGAUAUAUUACAGAUGUAUUGAUAGAAAAAGCAGGAACUAAAACACACAGUAUAAUGGGAAAUAGAAGGUUUAGAAAACAUCUAUUGUACUGCAGAGAUAAAGAGAUGCCAGUGAAUGUAUUUUUUAAAUGGAA
Long non-coding RNA from Taeniopygia guttata (zebra finch), 4481 nucleotides. Lineage: Eukaryota; Metazoa; Chordata; Aves; Passeriformes; Estrildidae. The record is from Ensembl.